This 253-nucleotide ribosomal RNA is filed under the name uncultured bacterium. RNAcentral describes it as "partial 16S ribosomal RNA". It matches the Rfam family "Bacterial small subunit ribosomal RNA", at positions 524 to 776 of the family's 1533-position model. The record is from RNAcentral.
AACGUAGGUGGCGAGCGUUAUCCGGAUUUACUGGGCGUAAAGGGUGUGCAGGCGGGUGAACAAGUGGUGUAUGAAAGGUUUCGGCUCAACCGAGAUAGGUUAUGCCAGACUGUUUACCUAGAGUGUGAGAGAGGGACGUGGAAUUCCGGGUGUAGUGGUGAAAUGCGUAGAUAUCAGGAGGAACACCUGCGGUGUAGACGGCUUACUGGACGGUAACUGACGCUGAGGCACGAAAGCGUGGGUAGCAAACAGG